CUAAAGGGUGGGGAGAGUUUCAGAAUUGAGGAAAAUAAAGGAAGAAGAAUGUGGAUGGAAAAAUGCCAUGGAGGGCCAGAGCGAGGAGACCUACCAGAAUGAGGCUGCCAGCAAACAUGCCAAGUGCAGGCUUUUUUUUAGGUACCCAGCUAGACUUCGUUUCCAGCCACUCUGCUAUUACCUGGGGCCACAGGACUGACUUCUAGCCAGAGCAAGGUAGGCUCUAUGCUCUAUGUGGACCCCAGUGUGGGGUGUCAACUCAUGACCCCGAGAUCAAGAUCUGAGCUGAGAUCAAGAGUCAGAUACCCAACCAGCUGAGCCACCCAGAUGCCCCCAACCUCCACAAGAUCUUAAUUCAGCCACCUACUGGUGACACCCAUUUUAGGUCUGCAAAUCUUCUAAGAAUUACAUGGUUAUUUAUCAGGUUCAUGAGCAAGCUACAACUGUGGCUGUGCAUCCUUGUCUCGGUGUCUGAUAAAUGUGUGUCAUAGGCUCAGGUACACCCAUUUCUGGCUCCCUUGCUGGAAACUCAACUCUAGUCCUUGUAAGUACACUAUUGGUGGCAAAACCGGAUGCAGUAGAGGGAGGACAUAUAAAUACUGUGUACUCCAGAAUUCAAGCAGUGUGGCCCUUCCAGCCUGCUUAUACUCAGUCUGAAGUGUGGUUCUCUUACCUCAUGGCUUUCCCUCUGGCUUCCCACUGUGUGCUUCAACUGAUUUUAAUAAUCUAUGUGAUCCAAGUGUUUUAAUUUGGUCUGGGAGCCCUUUUGUUUCAUGACUUCUGGGGCUGGUUGCCUGCCUGGUAGUGUACUUGGGGGCCACUCCUGCAACAAGGUCAUUCCCCACGCAAUGGAGAAGAUAUGGGAAGUUUAAAAAAAUACUUUGAAUUUCUUGGGGGGUAUAUCUUGGAGCCAAUGAUUCUACUUUAUCUAAUUUGCUUAAUCAUUUGCUGUGGUUUUAAGGAAGAGUUCUGAUUUUCUAUGAAGCGAAGAAACACAAAGAACAAUAUUUUGAAAUGGACUAACUUCUGAAGUGAUUUGUGAGACCACAUCUGGAAAAUAAUUAUAGCAGAAAAAGCCCACAAACAAAUAUUUCAUCAAAGAAAUGUUGAACUGAAAAACAGCAUCACGUUCUGAUGACACUUGCUUACUUUCAUAUAUCCAUUCAAAGGAUAUUUACAAAGCCCAAGACAUGAAUCGUCUGAUGACAUUUAAGACAAUGCAAAAAUAAAUUUAGAUCUAAAGUAUCACUGAAUGACAUAAUUCAAUUGUAGUAGAAGGUCAUUAUUUAAAUAAAUAUUAAUCAGAAAUAGGA
This is a long non-coding RNA of Mustela erminea (ermine), 1313 nucleotides long. RefSeq lists it as uncharacterized. The transcript has 3 exons. NCBI's taxonomy places the organism in Eukaryota, Metazoa, Chordata, Mammalia, Carnivora, Mustelidae. The record is from RefSeq and is a predicted model, not a curated record.